Molecule: ribosomal RNA, 253 nt
Filed under: uncultured bacterium
Lineage: Bacteria
Description: partial 16S ribosomal RNA
Rfam family: Bacterial small subunit ribosomal RNA
Source: RNAcentral
UACGUAGGGUGCGAGCGUUAAUCGGAAUUACUGGGCGUAAAGCGUGCGCAGGCGGUGAUGUAAGACAGGUGUGAAAUCCCCGGGCUUAACCUGGGAACUGCAUUUGUGACUGCAUCGCUGGAGUGCGGCAGAGGGGGAUGGAAUUCCGCGCGUAGCAGUGAAAUGCGUAGAUAUGCGGAGGAACACCGAUGGCGAAGACAAUCCCCUGGGCCUGCACUGACGCUCAUGCACGAAAGCGUGAGGAGCAAACAGG